UGGGAUAUAGCUCAGUGGUAGAGCAAAUGCUUACCACACAUGAAGCUCUGAGUUCAAUUCUCAGAAUCCCCC
RNAcentral lists this transfer RNA (72 nucleotides) under Marmota marmota marmota (Alpine marmot). It matches the Rfam family "tRNA". From Rfam's summary of the family: Transfer RNA (tRNA) molecules are approximately 80 nucleotides in length. RNAcentral also lists the same sequence under 1 other name. The record is from Rfam by way of RNAcentral. Lineage: Eukaryota; Metazoa; Chordata; Mammalia; Rodentia; Sciuridae.